Molecule: transfer RNA, 68 nt
Filed under: pig gut metagenome
Rfam family: tRNA
About the family: Transfer RNA (tRNA) molecules are approximately 80 nucleotides in length.
Source: RNAcentral
CUUGUAGUUCAAUGGAUAGAAUAUCGGACUUCGGAUCCGCCGAUGAGGGUUCGACUCCUUCCAGGUGC